This 120-nucleotide ribosomal RNA is filed under the name Pseudolarix amabilis. The record is from RNAcentral. Lineage: Eukaryota; Viridiplantae; Streptophyta; Pinopsida; Pinales; Pinaceae.
GGGCGCGAUCACACCAGCGUCAAUGCACCGCGGCGCAUUGAAACUUUGCAGUUAAGCAUGCUUGGGCUAGAGUAGUGCUGGGAUGGGUGACCUCCCAAGAAGUCCUAGUGUUGCACCCUC